GCCUUCGUGGUGUAGAGGUUAGCACGCUUGGCGAGUAUCCAAGAGGUCCGUGGUUCGAUUCCAGGCGAGGGCA
This is a non-coding RNA of Stegodyphus dumicola, 73 nucleotides long. The record is from the annotation of a RefSeq genome assembly. Lineage: Eukaryota; Metazoa; Arthropoda; Arachnida; Araneae; Eresidae.